Non-coding RNA from Peromyscus maniculatus bairdii (prairie deer mouse), 122 nucleotides. The record is from Ensembl. Lineage: Eukaryota; Metazoa; Chordata; Mammalia; Rodentia; Cricetidae.
ACUGGUGGACCAAGACUGACUGAUGAAGCAAGACUUUGCUGAUACACUCCUUCCAGACAAAGGGGUGGAGACAGCAGCCCUCAUCGGAGAAACCACAGGGCUGACUAUACUAUUAAAAAUUU